GUCAGCAGCCAUACCACCAGCAGCUCAAACUAAGUUAUCCAUAUGAAACUAAGCAGGUUUGGGUCUCGGCAGAACUUGGAUGAGAGGCCAACUAUGAAAGCUGGGUUGCUGCUGGAA
RNAcentral lists this ribosomal RNA (117 nucleotides) under Paramormyrops kingsleyae. Lineage: Eukaryota; Metazoa; Chordata; Actinopteri; Osteoglossiformes; Mormyridae. The record is from RNAcentral.